Balaenoptera acutorostrata (minke whale) is the source of this 6226-nucleotide long non-coding RNA. RefSeq lists it as uncharacterized. Lineage: Eukaryota; Metazoa; Chordata; Mammalia; Artiodactyla; Balaenopteridae. The transcript is spliced from 2 exons. The record is from RefSeq and is a predicted model, not a curated record.
CUGGUGGGAGGGGGUGGCCUGGCGGUUUGGGGUGGGUGGGUGGCUGAGGUCGUCUGGCCGGUAGCUGGGGGUCGCCUUCCCCCGCGGGAAGUCGGGAGCAUAGCGUUUGUUACGCUGCAAGGGAAAGAGGUGGUUAGAGGCAGGCGAGAGUGCGGCCCGCCCUGCGGCAACCGGAGGGGGAGGGAGAAGGGAGCGGAAAAGGCUCGAAUCCGGACGGAGCCAUUGCUCCCUCAGAGGGAGGGGCGCUUCCGGCUCUUCUGUCACUGAUUGGUUGCCGCUCCUCCCGCCGUGUGUGAAAACACAAAUGGCGUGUUUUGGUUGGAGCAAAGCGCCUGUCAGUUACAGCCUCGGGAGUGCGCAGCCGCCUAGAGACUCUCGCAUUGCUCCCUGGGGGGUAGGUAGGUGGGGUGCGGAGAGAGCUGGACUGGCGGGCGCGGUCGGCCUCCCGCGGGGGGGAGGAGAGGGUCAGUGAAAGUGGCUCCGUGCGGACGUCCUGCCACCCUCCCCUUCCUUGGGGGGAGUCGGUUUACCCGCCGCCUGCUUGGCUUCGGCAUCUGAUUGGCUGCUGAAGCCCCGGCAACGGCCCCUUGUUAUUGGCUCGGGUCCCAAAUGAGCGAAACCACUGCGCGGGUCGGCGGGGAGGCGGUCGUUGGUACGGUCCUCCCCAAGGCCUAGCGCCGCAGUGUCUGGCCCCGCGCCCCUGCGCAACGUGGCAGGAAGCGCGCGCUGGAGGCGGGGGCGGGCUGCCGGGCCGAGGCUUCUGGGUGGCGGCGACUGCGGCUCCGCCCUGGGCGCCCGCCGCCUGAAGGACAAGACUAGCCAGACGUGCUCCCGGACCCGUGGGGGUGGAGGAAGGAGCGGGGGUCCUUCUGCUGGUUUGUGGGUGGGAGGCGCAUGUUCUCCAAAAAUCGGCGCGAGCUGCAAUCCAGAAGGAGCUGCAGAGGAGGGGGCGGAGAGAAGGCCGCACCCUGCUCGGCAGGGGGAGGGGAGUGCCGCAAUACCUUUAUGGGAGUUCUCGGCUGCCUCCUGUCUCCUAAGGACCGCCCUGGGCCUAGAAAAAUCCCUCCCUCCCCCGCGAUCUCGUCAUCGCCUCCAUGUCGAGUCGCUCCUUCUCGAUUAUGGGCGGGAUUCUUUUGCCCAGGCUUAACCUGAUUCCUGGGCGUUGUCCUGCAGGGGACUGAGCAGGUGUAAGAUUAUGAGGACGAGCCCAGUUUCUCUACCCACAGACUUGAGUUUGUGUCGCAAAGUAAUUAUAAUAGGGGUGGAAGGGGGAAAUGGACUCCAGGCAACACCUGGGGCUGAUUUUAUGCAGCGAGACUGCGUGUUAUUACUUUUUAAGAUAUUUUUGUCGCAUUUUUCCUGGAGAUUAAGGGAGAUAGAUUAAAGACAUGAUCUCCUGAGUUUUAAACUUUACCCAUUUGAGGCCCUUGCUACACCACCAAAAUACAGCAUCUUAGAUUUAAAUCUUAAUCUUAAAAUUUUAGUCCCCACCCUUGCAUCCCCAGGGUCAGUCAUUUUAACAACUAUCCCUCAUGCUUUCAGCCCAUUUUCUAUUUGUUUUACUUGCUCAUUUAGUCCCAGACAUACCAUUGGCUUUCUUCUCUCCUGUUUUUGGUAGCCCGGUAAGUCAUGAAACCACACAGGCUACCCAACUUGAGCAUAGGCCUCACGGUUGCCCAGCAAUGCGUUUAUUCCUCCCUUAUGGAUAUUCUUGAAUCUUCACCUUAAUUUUCAUUUUGUCCUUUUCCCUCAGCUGGGAUUCUACUCCUGACCCUCUUCUCAGUCCAGAUGAUUUUGACUACUGCUUUCCUGAGAAUUGGACGUGAGGUUUAGCAACAUCUCUCUUUUAUGUCCUUUGAAUACCUUUCAGUCCAUCUCCAGUGCUGUUCUCAUCAGUAACUGAGCUCAGUUGCCAUAAUGCUAGUAGCCUCUGAACUAGUGUCUCCAUCUCCGGUAUCUGCUGAUACAACUUUUGUGUGCCCAGGACAGUUGUCCCAACAUAAAGAUAGAGCAUGAAAAUAGCUGAUCCAACUCCUUUAUUGGCUCCCUAACUACUGACAGGAUGAAUUCCAUCGAUGCAAAUGUGAUAUGCGAGGUUCCUCAAUGGACUGAUCUCACCUUAACAGCUUUUUCCUUUGCCACAGUUUUCCGCAUAUACACAAAAACAUUACUUCUCAAGUCACACUGAAUUGAUUGCUGUUUACGCAAAUCACAGUGAGAUUAUCAGACCUCUUUGUAGGGUGGUUCCUCCUGGAAUGCUACCCUUGAUAAUCCUUACCCUUCCAGUAAAGACUGUUAAAACUCAAAUAUCAUCUCGCCUUCUGUGAUCUGCCGUCCUUUAAGCCAGACUCGCCUAUAAAAAAGUUAGUGUUGCUUUUUCUUGGUCCCAUAGCGGGUUGAAUCAUAGCACUUCUCAGGUUGUUGUUGUUGCUUGUUUAAAUUCUCUUAACUAUUCGGAGCUUCUUGAGGGCACAGGCUCUUGCUGAGUCUUGUACCUAAGCUCCUAGUAUAUUCCUUGAUGGCUAGCCAACCCUAAAUAAAAGAUGUCCUUAUAAGGUUUGAUAGAUGGGUCUCUCAAACACUUCUUUGUGUGCUUGCUAGUGCUCUAGAUUAGCACUGUCCACUAGAACCUUCUGCAGUGAUGGAAAUACCCCAUAGUUGUGCUGUCCAAUAUGUUGGCCACUAACCACACAUUACUAUUGAGCCCUGGAAAUGUGGCUCUUAUGACUAAGGAAGUCAGUUUUUAAUUUUAUGUAAUUUAAGUUUAAAUUGCCACUGUGGAGGUGUGGCUGUAGCCACAAACUUGUGUUGUAGAUUGCAGAAUACUUAAUAUGGACAUUGAUAAUUUUGUCUUCAUACUGAGCAGUAAGGAAAUAAAAGUUGAACCUUUCUGGCCCAUUUAGGUGUGAGCCACCCCCCUCCCCGCCCACCAAGUUGGUUGGUUGGUUGGUUUUAAUACUUAUUUGUAUACUUUAGCUGACAGCUGAAUCCAGCAAACCAUUACUAAAGAUAAACCUGCCUUGGACAAUGGUGUGUUGAGAAAGCAACUGUUGAUUCAUUUGAGUUUCAAGAAUGCAUAAGGGAUUUUAGGAAAGUGGGAUUUCAUUAAAUCAUAACGGUGACAGAAGUUUGAUGAGGAAUAGGACUAUAUCUGAUGUUAGUGAAACUAGCCCUGAAUUUCAGUUCUACAAAAUUUUUAAUUUUGGAAAACCUUCAUCAGAGGAGGCCCUAAGUAUCGUAUCUUAAGUUACAGGAAAUCAUCACUAAGUUUUCAUUCUGAUGAAGUAUAAGUUAAUAGAUAUGUUUUAACACCAAAAUGCUUUUUGGUUUAUAUGUUAAUAUAGAUAGCAUCUUGUAAAUUUCAAUUUUUAUAUAUAUAUAUUUUUUUAAUAUUUUAUUUAUUUAUUUAUUUAUUUUUGGCUCUGUUGGGUCUUCGCCUCUGUGCGAGGGCUUUCUCCAGUUGUGGCAAGUGGGGGCCACUCUUCAUCGCGGUGCGCGGGCCUCUCACCAUCGCGGCCUCUCUUGUUGCGGAGCACAGGCUCCAGACACGCAGGCUCAGUAGUUGUGGCUCACGGGCCUAGUUGCUCCGCGGCAUGUGGGAUCCUCCCAGACCAGGGCUCGAACCCGUGUCCCCUGCAUUAGCAGGCAGACUCCCAACCACUGCGCCACCAGGGAAGCCCCCAAUUUUUUAUAUUUAAAAGAUAAGUUUUUUAACUUAAAAUUUCUUAAGAUUUCUCCUUAAAAUAUGAGAAGUGCACAUAAUUGGCUUGCUAUUUAAUGCAGAUUCCCAGUCCCACACCCGGAGAUUCUGAAUUCAGUUAAGACUGGUGGGGGUCACUAGAAUUCUGUGUCUUUUAUAUGCUUCUGAUGUUGGUGGUCCAGAAAUCACACUGCAAAUACAGCCCCAAGGAGCUACAGUAUGCCUAUCUUACAAAAAUGAUUACAACUUCAGGGAAACUGUAUGUCCCCUUUACUUGGUAAUUUUUUCCUCCAGAAAAACUGAAUAAAUGGGGAAACAUUUUGAAAGGCAAAAAAAAGAGUUAUAUUUAAUAGUUUGGGAAACUUAUAGGUCAGACUGCUUUGUUGUUAAAAGGAAUGUUAAACUAUUCCAAGUAAUCUUUUUUUUUACUUUUUUACCAAGAAAGUUCCCUUUUUUGUCUUGUUUUCCCACUAAAUGCAUUCCUCAAUGAUAUGGAUUUGUUCUUGAUUCCCUGGUGCCUGAACACAGAGCUGGGUACUCAAUAAAUGUUGAUUUUAUUGAUUUAUAUGUGAAAUUUGUUUUCAAGUAAUAGUUUAAAUCCACAGAAGCAAUGCUCCUUUUAUGGAGAAACUUUAGGAUCAUACUUAACCCAAGUCACCUAAUAUUCUAUUCAUAAAGGAAACUGAUGCCUCAUGGUCUCUGAAUACAUUUGUCUGCCAUUCAGCUCUUCCUUGGGUUUCCUGUGCAAACCCUUGCACUUAUCCUCUUCCUGUGCUUGACUUCCUUAGGCUUUAUUACAAUUUUUAAACAAACCAGCUACUUACCUCCCUCUGAAGUAGAGCCAUAUUAUUUCUUACACUCCUAGGACAGAAAUUAAGUAGAGUGAAAACUUGUACUUGCAUGAGAGAGUUGAAGGUUUUGUAAGGGAUUUUAUAAUCUUUUUUUUUUUUUUUUUAAGAUUUACAAAAUUUGAACUACAUAAUGUUUCAUUUUUUAUGCACGGAAGAGGUUUGGUAUAAUUAUGGUUUGCAACUGUUAAUCCAGAAUAUGAUACGGAUCAACAUCACAAGGGUUGCUCCUUGAGGGCAUGACAUUGCUUGUUUAUGGCUAUAUCCCUACUGUGUAAGCAUACAGAGGUCUUCAAGGUCAAAACUGUUCUCAUAAUACAGUAAGUCCCCUACAUACUAACCUUCAAGUUGCGAACUUUCAAAGAUGCGAACAUGUGUUUGCACGUCCAGUCGUGUAAGUUAGUUCACGUGUCUGGCGUACAUUGUCAUGUGCCUGCAUCCUCUACAAGUGGUUGUGCUUUUUUGUACUUUAUAGAGUACAGUAGUAUAGUAUCUUUAUUUCAAGCCCAGCAUGUCCAAAAGCGCUGUAGCUGGUACUGCUCAGAAGCCCCAGGUGAUAAUGAUGGAAACAAAAGUGAAAAUAAUUGAGAGGGUGGAGUGAGGCGAAAAGAUGGUAGACGUUGCUCAUUCUUAUAACAUGAAUCGUUCAACCAUCAGCAUGAUUCUAAAGAACAAGAACAAGGACAAGAUCAUGGAACAGGUGAAGUCUGCUGUGCCGAUGAUGGCGACAAUAACGUUGAAGAAGCGGGAAAAGUCAUGGAGAUGGAGAAACUUCUCAGUGCGUGGAUUCAGGAUCAGCAUCAGCAUCGAGUCCCCCUCAGCGUAAUGCUGAUGCAAGAAAAGCUAAAAGCCUUUAUGAAGACUUGAAGAAGAAACAUGGCGAAGAACCAGACGGUGCAUCUUUUAAUGUCAGCCAUGGCUGGUUUCAUCAGUUCAAGGCUAGAGCCAGCCUUCACAACGUAAAAGUAAGUGGUGAGGUCAAAAAAAAAAAAAAAAAGUAAGUGGUGAGGCAGCGAGUGCCCAUAUGGUAGCUGCCCGGGAUAAGGAGUCCAAAGAGGUUUUUAGCAACUUAGUGACCCUCAGAGAGAAGCUGGAGCUAGAUCUGCAAGAGGACGACUUCAUUGAACUCCUUGCUGUGCAACACGAGGAGCUUACUAACGAAGACCAAUGGAAUUGGAGGCCCAGAGAAAGGACGAAGAGAGACAAGAGGCGGAAGAAGUAACCGAAGAGAUUCACAAUACAGGAAAUGGCAAGGGGAUUUUCUUUAUUCAAAGAGGCACUGUUAGUUUUUGAGGCGCAGGAUCUGAAUGUAGAACAGUACAUGAAGGUUGCAGCAGCUGUUCAGGAUGCAAUCCAGUGCUACCGUGUCAUCUACGAUGAGAAGAAAAGAGCUACUGCCCAGACAUCACUGGAUUGUUUUUUCAAGAGGGUAGAUAGAAUUGAAUCCAGCAAGGAACCAGAACCUGUGCCAUCAAUGUCAGGUGUGAGUGAAACUGCAGCUUUGACCUCCGUCUCCUACUGCUGAUGAUCCUUCAGUUCUACCAUCUCCCACCUCCUCUCCCUCCUCCAGUCAGUAACUCUUGCCUGUUCACUCGAUGCCAGGCCUUGUAUGCCAGCUGUUGUACUGUACUACUGUACUUUUUAAGGUACUGUACUGUAAGAUUAAAAAUGUUUUAUA